This 72-nucleotide transfer RNA is filed under the name Methanosarcinales archaeon. RNAcentral's name for it is "tRNA-His". It matches the Rfam family "tRNA". Rfam says of the family: Transfer RNA (tRNA) molecules are approximately 80 nucleotides in length. Their secondary structure includes four short double-helical elements and three loops (D, anti-codon, and T loops). The record is from RNAcentral. Lineage: Archaea; Methanobacteriati; Methanobacteriota; Methanomicrobia; Methanosarcinales.
GCCGGGAUGGGGUAAUGGUCAUCCUGUGGCCCUGUGGAGGCCACGAUUCGAGUUCGACUCUCGGUCUCGGCC